CGAGAUAACGAUGUUCAGAUGUACCUGGUGGUAGUGAUACAUAUUAAAUAUGCCGCAUUAUCCUACUUUGUGGUGAUUGUAUUAUAAAGCUAGUCUGAUUAUUUAAACCUUGAUGUAUAAUGAAAUCAAUGACCAGCUUAUCUCGAGAUUGAUCCUAAUGGAAUUGAUGUCACGUGGUGUUCGGUCAUUUAAUCCAUUGUAUAAAAAUAAUGUAUUUUAUACAUUUCAGUAAUAUACAUGACUGUCCAAUCUGACGAAGUUCUGACAAAUACACUUGGAUGGCUUUAACUAGCGGACGACUAUCAUAACGUAUCUUAGCGACCCUUAAUGGGGACUGGGUGACAUGCUGUAUCUUGUAACCUAGAUAAUAAUGUAUAUUGUUUAUUUAAUAUAAAUAUAUAUAUUGACGCGUAAAUGUGUAUGAUUCUCAAAAUUUGUACAUUUUUGUCCUUGUAGUGUUGUGUCAGUCAUAGAAUAGUAUUUGCAAUUAGAUUGGGAGUCAGUGGUUUCGUAAUACAAAGAAAACUGUAACGUAAGUCAUACUGGCCGGAUUAGAGGUGUACAUUAUGUAGUUAUAUUGCUGUAGCGUAAGGCGCACUGGCCAGAUAAGAGGUACAUGUAGUUAUAUUGCUGUAGCAUAAGACGUACUGGCCGGAUAGAGGUAGUUAUAUUGCUGUAGCAUAAGACGUACUGGCCGGAUAGAGGUAGCGUAAUUGUUGUAUCCAGUUUAUUAUGUUUUAUUUGACCUUUCUGUGAUAAAACUCUCCUUUUAGAAAUAGUUCCACGGAAAGGAACCUGUUUGUGUUUUGUGAUUGAAUAUAUUGACUUGUUUAGUUCCGAUUUAGCAUACAAUAGAAUAAUUCAAAUAUGUAAUCAUAACUAAAAAUAGGCCAGAAUUAAUUAAGCUAGAGAGAAUGUGAACGAAAUUUUGUACAAAUACAAUGAACAACUGUCGUGUCGGGCCAUGAUACUCUGAACAGGAAGUGACUGGUACUCCAAACACGACCAAAGGACAUGUAAACGAUAUGGACGUCAUACUUGAGCUAUCUAGAUGUUAGGGUAAUUAAACAUUAAAGAAUAAUUACCUGUAAUGAUAAUCAUAUCAUCUAUGAACGACAUCUUCAUCCAUCUGUCUUUGUGGACCUCGUGCAAUAUAGAUGCUUCCGAUUAGCUUUAAUCGGUGUUAAGCCCGACAGUUGUUUGUAGGUACAUGUAUUAAAAACAUUUUACAUGGAAGAAGUGAUUUUGAUCUAAUAAUCAUGUGUAUGUACAUGUUCUUGAGCAUAUUAAGUAAAAUGUAUUAUUUAUAUAAAUCUAACUUGUAUUUACCGAGACAAUCUCUCGAUAGCACCUGACGUGAGGAAUCAGACAGUGUUACAUGAGUUAUAUAAAUGAGUAUAAGUAAUGAUAAGUUUGUGUUUUGAGAUGUUAUAGUGUAUUAACUGUACAUGUACAUGUAUAUGAGUGACGAAAAACGUCACAAGCUGAAAAUGCACAGUACGCUUGUGUAAAUCAAACUUAGCCCACACUGAUUGGUUGAGUCAGAACUUGUUUAGCUUUCUUUAGUAUUAAGACUUAAAAUAACAAGACUCGAAAUUACAACAGAUAAAACGGUUAUUUCGUUACUACAUAAGCAGGAAAAUGAAACUCUUGUUCCAUUAACGGCAUUUGGUGUAUCCUAAAGGUUUCCUAAUAUGAAAAAGAAAAAUCUUUAAAGUUAUUCAAAUACAAUACGAUAUCACGGAUUUAAAUAGAGUACACAUGCAUGUUGUAGAGUUGGAAACUCCACGAACGGAACUCGGAACUGGUGUGGUGUUUUACUGUAUAUUAUGUAUUUUAUUACCUUACCGCCCAGCGAUAACUUGAGUCAUUUAGGGCCAAAUAUGAAAGCGAUAUUGAACUUGUGUGUGAUUAAUAUGAUCGUAAAGGAUGUACAUGUAUGAAAUUCGUAAGGUGUGACGUGAUAUAAUUUACGUUAAUCUUGUAAGGAUGAUAAACAUUUAAUUUGAUUUUCACUUCCAAGUAAAAACAUACCACCAGAGUGGAACGAAGGGAAGUAACUGGGAUAUUCGUAGAGAGUUAGAAUAAAACUCAUCACCAAGGACACAGGGUUUUAUUUAAUGCCAUUUUAUUGAGAUGCUUUCGUAAAUGUGUAAAAUUACCACUGAUGAACGUAGUUAAGUAGGAGAGAAGGUUUGAGCGAAACAUAGUGUGUAUGUGUGCACGUGAGUGAGCUGUUAACGACACGCAUGGUAUGGUACGUAUCGAACCCAAUGUGUGCGUGUUCAGUAUUUUUUUUUUUGCUAUCCACUGAUAUUAUUAUGUGAAUACUGUUGAUCUAUCGAGUAUACAUACAAUAUAUGUACACAUCUAUCGGUAUACAAUGAACCUUAAAUGAAGUGGUUUCUUGAUAGUGGCAUCUUGUAUGAAAUCUCAUCCCUUGUCAUUCUUUAUAUCAUUUGUCAUGUUAUGGCAGUACGCACUAUGUGUAACUAGUAAUAUAUCACUCCCGUUAAGGGAGUUGACGACACCUUCAAUUUGAUGUGUAAACAGUUUUCAUGCAUUUUUCAUAUCUAUGUGUCAAGAGUGUAUUGAAUAUCAUCUCAUUCAUAAUUUAAAAACGCUAGACAUGAAAUCACCAUGUUUUAAUUAUCUAAAUAGGACUGUGUGAGAGAGGAAAUGCAUUAAUUUUCUAAUUGAAGCUUAAUUCAUUUAUCAGUAAUAAUAUUGGCCCAUCAUGAUUGUGACGUCAUUAUGUACAUGUACGCAUCACGAUAUGACUAUAUUGUUAUGUGUCAGUUCGAAAAAAAAUAAAUCUUACCAAACAAAUUGAA
Molecule: long non-coding RNA, 2834 nt
Organism: Pecten maximus
Lineage: Eukaryota; Metazoa; Mollusca; Bivalvia; Pectinida; Pectinidae
Exons: 2
Source: RefSeq, a predicted model, not a curated record